Molecule: ribosomal RNA, 32 nt
Filed under: Phormidium cf. nigrum CCALA 147
Lineage: Bacteria; Bacillati; Cyanobacteriota; Cyanophyceae; Oscillatoriales; Oscillatoriaceae
Description: partial 23S ribosomal RNA
Source: RNAcentral
GGUCAAGCGAAUAAGGGCUAACGGUGGAUACC